RNAcentral lists this unclassified non-coding RNA (229 nucleotides) under plant metagenome. Its description in RNAcentral is "partial contains small subunit ribosomal RNA, internal transcribed spacer 1, and 5.8S ribosomal RNA". The record is from RNAcentral.
UCUCCGUAGGUGAACCUGCGGAGGGAUCAUUACAGAGUUCAUGCCCUACCGGGUAGAUCUCCCACCCUAUGUUAUUAUUACUUUGUUGCUUUGGCGGGCCGUUAGGCUCCGGCCCGACUACCGGCCCCGGCUGGUAAGCGCCCGCCAGGGGACCCAAAACCCUGAAUAUUAGUGUCGUCUGAGUACUAUAUAAUAGUUAAAACUUUCAACAACGGAUCUCUUGGUUCUG